RNAcentral lists this RNase P RNA (379 nucleotides) under Bacteroidales bacterium. RNAcentral's name for it is "RNase P RNA component class A". It matches the Rfam family "Bacterial RNase P class A". From Rfam's summary of the family: Ribonuclease P (RNase P) is a ubiquitous endoribonuclease, found in archaea, bacteria and eukarya as well as chloroplasts and mitochondria. The record is from RNAcentral. Lineage: Bacteria; Pseudomonadati; Bacteroidota; Bacteroidia; Bacteroidales.
AAGGCAGGUUGUCCUGUCGCUUUCCGCGCAAGCGGAAGGAGGAAAGUCCGGGCAACGCAGAGCAGCAUACUUCCUAACGGGAAGCCGGUUUGCCGCAAGGCAGGCCGCGAGACAGUGCCACAGAAAACAACCGCCGAUGUGCCGUUCGCGGUGCAGGCAAGGGUGAAAACGUGAGGUAAGAGCUCACGACUGCUGCAGGUGACUGCCGCAGGGGGUAAACCUUAUGCGUUGAAAGGCCAAAUAUACCGGGGCUUGAGGGCGGCUCGCCCGAUCCCGGAGGGUAGGCCGUUAGAGCUGUUGCGCAAGUAACAGUCCAGACAAAUGACAGGAGUCCCGGUUUUCCGGGAAACAGAACCCGGCUUACAGACCUGCCUUUUCU